RNAcentral lists this long non-coding RNA (559 nucleotides) under Olea europaea (common olive). RNAcentral describes it as "long non-coding RNA (OEUR_LNC012815)". The record is from RNAcentral. Lineage: Eukaryota; Viridiplantae; Streptophyta; Magnoliopsida; Lamiales; Oleaceae.
UUAAAGACAUAACUUCAAUAAAUAGAUUGGUCCCGGGACCAGGUGGAAAGAACCUGAAAUGGGAUAGAACUGAUAGAAGAGUCUCCAGUUUCACCAUGCCCCAAGGAAUCUCCCUCUUCUUCUGGAAACUUCUGAAAAAAUUUACGUUGAGAUCUAUUCCUAUUCAAAUCCUGUAAAUAAAAUCCAUGAAUAUAAAUGAACCAGAAACAAAACCCAUACGCAUUUUAUGUCUAUUGGCUUUAAAUUUGAAAGAGAAAACCCCACCUGAGAGAAGAUUAUGUAUAAAAACAGAAGAACAAGAAAGAAACAGAAGCAUAAGAAGAACACAAUUGGUAAUCUUGUCUUGCGCUUCAUGCCCACAACUCUAUUCCCUUUAAAUUUCAUGAUUGAUUUUCAGGAAUUCAAAUGAACGUGAAUUACAGUUGAAUAAAUAUAGAGAAACCCAAAUCGUUUAUUUCGAAUUUGGGAAACUUGUAAUCUGAGACUGUGGGUUGGAGGGUGACAAAACCCGAUAACGGCGGGAGAAUUUUCUUCUGUUUGAAGUUAAAUCUCGACAAAG